UACGAAGGGGGCUAGCGUUGUUCGGAUUUACUGGGCGUAAAGCGCACGUAGGCGGAUCAUUAAGUCAGGGGUGAAAUCCUGGAGCUCAACUCCAGAACUGCCUUUGAUACUGGUGAUCUUGAGUCCGGAAGAGGUGAGUGGAACUCCUAGUGUAGAGGUGGAAUUCGUAGAUAUUAGGAAGAACACCAGUGGCGAAGGCGGCUCACUGGUCCGGUACUGACGCUGAGGUGCGAAAGCGUGGGGAGCAAACAGG
This 253-nucleotide ribosomal RNA is filed under the name uncultured bacterium. RNAcentral describes it as "partial 16S ribosomal RNA". It matches the Rfam family "Bacterial small subunit ribosomal RNA", at positions 524 to 776 of the family's 1533-position model. The record is from RNAcentral.